UAGGUGGCGAGCGUUGUCCGGAAUUACUGGGUGUAAAGGGAGCGUAGGCGGGAAUGCAAGUUGAAUGUGAAAUCUACCGGCUCAACCGAUAGUUGCGUUCAAAACUGUGUUUCUUGAGUGAAGUAGAGGCAGGCGGAAUUCCUAGUGUAGCGGUGAAAUGCGUAGAUAUUAGGAGGAACACCAGUGGCGAAGGCGGCCUGCUGGGCUUUUACUGACGCUGAGGCUCGAAAGCGUGGGUAGCAAA
This 244-nucleotide ribosomal RNA is filed under the name uncultured bacterium. Its description in RNAcentral is "partial 16S ribosomal RNA". It matches the Rfam family "Bacterial small subunit ribosomal RNA", at positions 528 to 772 of the family's 1533-position model. The record is from RNAcentral.